RNAcentral lists this transfer RNA (74 nucleotides) under Pagothenia borchgrevinki (bald rockcod). RNAcentral describes it as "tRNA-Leu". It matches the Rfam family "tRNA". Rfam says of the family: Transfer RNA (tRNA) molecules are approximately 80 nucleotides in length. Lineage: Eukaryota; Metazoa; Chordata; Actinopteri; Perciformes; Nototheniidae. The record is from RNAcentral.
GCUUCUGAAGGAUAACAGCACAUCCGUUGGUUUUAGGAACCAAAAACUCUUGGUGCAAAUCCCAAGUAGUAGCU